RNAcentral lists this long non-coding RNA (241 nucleotides) under Elaeis guineensis (African oil palm). RNAcentral describes it as "long non-coding RNA (EGUI_LNC017690)". The record is from RNAcentral. Lineage: Eukaryota; Viridiplantae; Streptophyta; Magnoliopsida; Arecales; Arecaceae.
CUCUUUGUGGGAUAUGAGAAAAAGACUAUAGAAAUACUUGUUCUGGUAUAUAUUGAUGUGUGCAGCCCAUUCGAUGUGCCAAUUAGAGGAGGUUAUUUCUACUUCAUAAUUUUUAUCAAUAAUUUUUCACGAUAUGGGUACAUGUAUCUCAUGAGGCACAAGUCUGAAGCAUUUAAAAAGUUUAAAAAAUUUAGAAAUAAAGUAGAGAAACAAACUGAAAAUUUUUUAAGGUUCUUUAAUC